GGAUUCCCCUAGUAACUGCGAGUGAAGCGGGAAAAGCUCAAAUUUAAAAUCUGGCAGUCUUUGGCUGUCCGAGUUGUAUUCUGGAGAAGCGUUUUCCGCGCUGGACCGUGUACAAGUCUCUUGGAAUAGAGCGUCGUAGAGGGUGAGAAUCCCGUCUUUGACACGGACUACCAGUGCUUUGUGAUGCGCUCUCAAAGAGUCGAGUUGUUUGGGAAUGCAGCUCAAAAUGGGUGGUGAAUUCCAUCUAAAGCUAAAUAUUGGCGAGAGACCGAUAGCGAACAAGUACCGUGAGGGAAAGAUGAAAAGCACUUUGGAAAGAGAGUUAAACAGUACGUGAAAUUGCUGAAAGGGAAACGCUUGAAGUCAGUCGCGUCAUUCAGAACUCAGCCUGGCUUUUGCCUGGUGUAUUUUCUGGUUGACGGGCCAGCAUCAGUUUUGACCGCUGGAAAAAGGCCAUAGGAAUGUGGCACCCUCGGGUGUGUUAUAGCCUGUGGUCAUAUACAGCGGUUGGGACUGAGGACCGCAGCACGCCUUUAUGGUUGGGGUUCGCCCACAUUCGUGCUUAGGAUGCUGGCGUAAUGGCUUUAAACGACCCGUCUUGAAACACGGACCAAGGAGUCUAACAUGCCUGCGAGUGUUUGGGUGGAAAACCCGAGCGCGUAAUGAAAGUGAAAG
RNAcentral lists this ribosomal RNA (675 nucleotides) under Panus conchatus. RNAcentral's name for it is "LSU rRNA". It matches the Rfam family "Eukaryotic large subunit ribosomal RNA", at positions 72 to 731 of the family's 3401-position model. Lineage: Eukaryota; Fungi; Basidiomycota; Agaricomycetes; Polyporales; Panaceae. The record is from RNAcentral.